UCAACAUCCCAUCAGUCACAAAAUGGCUGCAAAAUAGAUAAAGCUGAGAAACAGCAGAUCCCCUGCCCUCAUCACUGGACGUUGUGGUACCGUGGACGCCUUAUUUCAUUCUUCUGUAUUUCUUAUUGUAUUAUUAUUAUUAUCGAUAUUAUUAUUGAUAUUUGUUUAAACCAUGGAAAGCACAUAAUUAACUUUUUAUUUUCCUAUGAUAUGAUUUUCUGUGGAAUCAAAAUACAAAAAAACAGUUCAGUCUCUGGUUUAACUGUAGUUUCUAGAUAGUUCUCUAGUCUCUUUCAUGCGUUUCCUCUCCCCUGUUUUAUCUACACAAGCAAUAGACAACACAAAUAUCUGCUCAUAAUACAAUCUAGUAUAUCUCAUUAUGUCACUGGAGAGGUGUGUGUGUGUGUGUGUGUGUGUGUGUGUGUGUGUGUGUGUAAAUCAGACGGUUUGCUAUAGGAGACAGUUGGAACAUAAGAAGAUCGUCACAGAGAUUUAAUAAAUACACCGAACGGACCAGCAGGACGUUGGGAGAGGACAGAUCCUCAUCGACCAAUCAAUACUCUGUAUCUGUCCUGGCUGUCAUCUUGCUUUGUGACAUCACUGUGUUUUUAAUGUGUAGCUAUGUCAGAGAGGAAACGAGUUAAAGGAUUAGCUUGAGAAAGAACAAAAAAAAAUUACCUGUGGUUCAUGUAGGUUUAGGAGACUGCUUUUAUUUGUUCUCUAGUUGACUAUCUACUCCGGUAGUUUCUCUGCUUUCAUUGGAGGAAUUUGUUGACGGUGAUUGGCUGACUGCCAGGGUGACGGUGAUUGGCUGACUGCCAGGGUGACGGUGAUUGGCUGACUGCCAGGGUGAAACAACCCCAAUAAUUAUUUUAUAACCUGAUUUGACAGUUUCAGAAUUGGUGGUGUAACGAACGAUUUACGUUAACAAGGACUUUUUGUACUUGCUCUGCAGCAGAACAUAAGAUUUGUCAGAAAAAGGAGGAGUGGAUUGUUUUAUUUUUGUUUACUUAAUUUUUUUUAUUAAAGGAAUUAAUUUGCUGGGGAAAAUAUAUUUAUUUUCACCUUUCCCCCCCUCUCAAUCUGUUGAUAGUCCAUAGUAGAAUUAAUUUGUUGGACUAUGGAAUUCAAAAGGUUAUUUUUAUUUUCCCAAGGCUUGUUUUCUUUUUUUUCUU
This 1175-nucleotide long non-coding RNA is filed under the name Salmo salar (Atlantic salmon). Its description in RNAcentral is "lncRNA (ENSSSAG00000097907.1)". Lineage: Eukaryota; Metazoa; Chordata; Actinopteri; Salmoniformes; Salmonidae. The record is from RNAcentral.